GAUGAACGCUGGCGGCGUGCCUAAUACAUGCAAGUCGAGCGAACAGACGAGGAGCUUGCUCCUCUGACGUUAGCGGCGGACGGGUGAGUAACACGUGGAUAACCUACCUAUAAGACUGGGAUAACUUCGGGAAACCGGAGCUAAUACCGGAUAAUAUAUUGAACCGCAUGGUUCAAUAGUGAAAGACGGUUUUGCUGUCACUUAUAGAUGGAUCCGCGCCGCAUUAGCUAGUUGGUAAGGUAACGGCUUACCAAGGCAACGAUGCGUAGCCAACCUGAGAGGGGGAACGGACACAGGGGAAGUGAGACACGGCACGAAAUCCUACGGGAGGCAGAAGGGGGGAAUCUUCGAGAAUGGGGAAAAGCCGAAAGAGGAAACGCCGGUGGAGGGAAGAAGGUCUGCGGAUCGAAAAACCUUUUUUAAGGGGAAAAAAAAAGGAAAAAGAAAAAAGGCCCGUUUGGAGGGUACCUAUACAGAAAACCCGGGCUAACUAGGU
RNAcentral lists this ribosomal RNA (496 nucleotides) under uncultured bacterium. RNAcentral describes it as "partial 16S ribosomal RNA". It matches the Rfam family "Bacterial small subunit ribosomal RNA", at positions 28 to 506 of the family's 1533-position model. The record is from RNAcentral.